GAGACUCUGUGCGCGUGCAUAUCAAUAAGCGGAGGAAAAGAAACUAACAAGGAUUCCCCUAGUAACGGCGAGUGAAGCGGGAAGAGCUCAAAUUUGAAAUCUUAAAGGGUUUCCCUUUACGAAUUGUAGUUUAAAGAAGUGUUUUCUGUUGGAGUUUCGGUAAAAGUUCUUUGGAAUAGGACAUCAUAGAGGGUGAGAAUCCCGUAUUUGACCGUUACUUUCCAGCUGUGUGAUACACUUUCAAAGAGUCGGAUUGUUUGGGAAUGCAGUCCAAAAUGGGUGGUAAAUUUCAUCUAAAGCUAAAUAUUGGCGAGAGACCGAUAGCGAACAAGUACCGUGAGGGAAAGAUGAAAAGAACUUUGAAAAGAGAGUUAAACAGUACGUGAAAUUGUCAAAAGGGAAGCGUUUGACACCAGUGUUGUUUAGUUGAAAAUCAAUUAAAUAUUUUUCGAUUUUAAGUAGUAUUGACCUUAUCAGCUUGCUGCUUUUUUCUCGGAAAUUAUUUAAUGCACUUUUCAGUUAACAAGUCAACAUCAAUUUCUUUUGUUGUAAAAAGGUAAGAGGAAGGUGGCUUGCGCUUCGGCUCAAGUGUUUAUAGCCUUUUACCCCUGCAAUCGGAGAGAUUGAGGUCUGCAGCGUAGAUCCUUCGGGGUUAGAUACAUUUGUGCUAAGCUAUAGCCUUGUAUAGACAACUUGUUGACUAUGCUCAGUCAUGUAGCUUACUCGCUUAUGCUAUUUUACCUACGCUUAGGAUGUUGAACUCUAUCACACACAG
This 775-nucleotide ribosomal RNA is filed under the name uncultured Neocallimastigales. RNAcentral's name for it is "partial large subunit ribosomal RNA". It matches the Rfam family "Eukaryotic large subunit ribosomal RNA", at positions 23 to 624 of the family's 3401-position model. The record is from RNAcentral. Lineage: Eukaryota; Fungi; Neocallimastigomycota; Neocallimastigomycetes; Neocallimastigales.